RNAcentral lists this ribosomal RNA (606 nucleotides) under Laccodytes sp. NHM-IR393. RNAcentral's name for it is "SSU rRNA". It matches the Rfam family "Eukaryotic small subunit ribosomal RNA", at positions 32 to 601 of the family's 1831-position model. The record is from RNAcentral. Lineage: Eukaryota; Metazoa; Arthropoda; Insecta; Coleoptera; Dytiscidae.
UUGUCUCAAAGAUUAAGCCAUGCAUGUCUCAGUACAAACUCAAUUAAAGUGAAACCGCGAAAGGCUCAUUAAAUCAGUUAUGGUUCCUUAGAUCGUACCCACAUUUACUUGGAUAACUGUGGUAAUUCUAGAGCUAAUACAUGCAAACAGAGUCCUUCUCCGGUUCGUCCGGAAGGGAUGCUUUUAUUAGAUCAAAACCAAUCGGCGUUGGGGCGCUUAUGCGUGCGUCCUUUCGCCGCUCAAUUUGGUGAAUCUGAAUAACUUUACGCUGAUCGCACGGUCUCGCACCGGCGACGCAUCUUUCAAAUGUCUGCCUUAUCAACUGUCGAUGGUAGGUUCUGCGCCUACCAUGGUUGUAACGGGUAACGGGGAAUCAGGGUUCGAUUCCGGAGAGGGAGCCUGAGAAACGGCUACCACUUCCAAGGAAGGCAGCAGGCGCGCAAAUUACCCACUCCCGGCACGGGGAGGUAGUGACGAAAAAUAACGAUACGGGACUCAUCCGAGGCCCCGUAAUCGGAAUGAGUACACUUUAAAACCUUUAACGAUAAUCUAUUGGAGGGCAAGUCUGGUGCCAGCAGCCGCGGUAAUUCCAGCUCCAAUAGCGUA